Sapajus apella (tufted capuchin) is the source of this 1049-nucleotide long non-coding RNA. RefSeq lists it as uncharacterized. The record is from RefSeq and is a predicted model, not a curated record. Lineage: Eukaryota; Metazoa; Chordata; Mammalia; Primates; Cebidae. The transcript is spliced from 3 exons.
GCCUGGAGGGCGGGGCCGCGGCCGGGAGCCUCAAGUCCGCGUUUCGCGCCAGACUCCAGUGAGGGCUUGAGUGACUCACCAAAGGUGGCACAGAUGUGGAAUGAUGGAUUCAGAAUGGAAAUCCAGGAUUGCCUGACUCCAAAGCCAGUAUUUUUAAACCCUACGUAGAUAUCAACAGCCAGAGGCUACUGAAUGCUGGAUGGCUUCACUGUUGGGCAGGCCACAUCAACCCUUUAAAUGCCUCGAGAACAUCCUGACCCAGGAGCAACAAAACACUUUGGACCAGUAAGUAAUCUUGUUGCAGUAAAUGUUCUGCAAUUUGGGAUUUGCAAAUCUCUGAAUUUGGUAUCUUUCCUCUAUUAACUGAAGAUUUUCUCUGGUUUGAUCCUGGCUUCAUUCCUUGUCUCUCUGGCUUCCUGGUUUAUUCCAUCUUGGUUCUCUGAAUACUUGUGUUUGCUCAUCUGUUGAGCUGCAAUUUUUACCUGGGUGCAAGCCUUCUGUUUGCAGGCUACCUUCCCUUUCUGACACUCAAGCACUGGACCCAGCCAUUGUUAAUUUCCAGUUCCUCAGGGAGCAACAAAUAUUCUAAAACAAAAAGCAAAAUAUUUGAAAAACCUAUAUUCACAGAAAUAUGGUAUCUUAAUCUUUAGUUUUACAUGGCUGGUUAGAAGUUAUAGUUUAAAAAAAUCUAAGUAGUAAAUACUGCCUACUUGAAAGUAGUUCUACAUUUGAAAUCCUGUUUAUCUUGGAUAUUUUAAUAAUUAAAUAUUUUAAAAUUACUAUACCAUAGAUCAAAUUUUAGCAAUUAAAUGAGAAGGAUGAUCAAAAAGGAUGAUUUAACCAUCAGAAAGAUACUGAAAUUGCACAUAACUGUGUGAGAGAAAAAUUAAUCUUCAAGCUGUGUAUUAAAGCUAAAUUUAAUUUCGAUGAUGAUGAUGAUGAUGACGGUGAUGAUAAACUAAUCUGGCGUCUAUUAAUACAAUGGUAAGUUUAGUUCAACUAAUGUUCUGCUUACUUGACAUUCUAAAAUAUGGCAUGAUGAAGUUUUU